UCUUAUGGAGAGUUUGAUCCUGGCUCAGGACGAACGCUGGCGGCAUGCCUAAUACAUGCAAGUCGAGCGAACUGUUGGAAGCUUGCUUCCUUCAG
This 95-nucleotide ribosomal RNA is filed under the name Sporosarcina sp. P16b. RNAcentral describes it as "partial 16S ribosomal RNA". It matches the Rfam family "Bacterial small subunit ribosomal RNA", at positions 1 to 95 of the family's 1533-position model. Lineage: Bacteria; Bacillati; Bacillota; Bacilli; Caryophanales; Caryophanaceae. The record is from RNAcentral.